This 95-nucleotide transfer RNA is filed under the name Cellulomonas pakistanensis. RNAcentral describes it as "tRNA-Ser". The record is from RNAcentral. Lineage: Bacteria; Bacillati; Actinomycetota; Actinomycetes; Micrococcales; Cellulomonadaceae.
GCCGGCCCGGGGCGGGCCCGGCCAGGGCGGGUCCGACGCCCGCGGGCAGCACCAGGGCGGCGGCCAGCCCCGCGAGCAGGACGCGGCGCCGGCGC